RNAcentral lists this long non-coding RNA (1118 nucleotides) under Ricinus communis (castor bean). RNAcentral's name for it is "long non-coding RNA (RCOM_LNC003601)". The record is from RNAcentral. Lineage: Eukaryota; Viridiplantae; Streptophyta; Magnoliopsida; Malpighiales; Euphorbiaceae.
AUUCUGUCCCAUGUGUGACAGUCCACUUGUUUGAGCAUUAUCUAGAGUUCCACAACUCCGAAUGAGGCGAAAUCUGAACCUAUAGAAACUUUGAUCCAUCCUCUAAAACUAUUUAUUUUGUGGAAGGCCUAAUUCUGUUGUUUUGGAAGUAAAAUUGAGUAUUAUAUUUUCAUGGUCAAUCUGACCUGACAGAUUGACGUAUCUAUAAUGUUUUAUUUAGUCCUCCUUGUUCACUUUUCCAAAUGGCACAAGACCAAUUAGAAAUGAAACUAGACUUAAUGUCCUUGUGAUGUGGAAAAAGUGGUACCAGUAAUGCUUCCUAAAAUUUUUUGAGACAAUUUUGAGUAGAGCCUCAGAAAUCUGUCAUAGAUGACAGUUUGUUGAUUAUGUGUAAAUCGUAGUUUUAGAUGAUUAAUUGCUUGAGAAAAUCUUUUUUUUUAUGCCAUGUGAUUAGCAUGUGAUAUAUUUGUUGAUACAUUGCUGGUGGGAGCUUUGGUUUUGCAAUUAAAGGUUGAUUUUAAUAUUUGUUUGCUUAUGCCUUGAAUUUUGUACUAAGUUUUUUCUUGACAGUCAAAUUUGAAAAUUAAUAUGCCGAAUUCUACUACAAAUGAAUAGUUGAUUUUUGGGUAUGUUGUUUCCCGUCUGUAUAGUGUAUGGAUAUAAAAUGGCAUUUUGAUCCAAUUGGUCGGAUCUUGACUUAUGGCUAUUUUUCUAGGGACUACCCGGAGAGUAUUUUCUAAACUAGAAUUAGGGAUCUUCCUUGUUUCUUUGGAUUGCUUUCUAGUUUGGAAAAUUGCAAUUACCCCUUAAUUCAAUGAAUACUUGACAGGCUUUAAUACAAGAAUUUAUGGGAUUUAAGCCCUUAGUUUAAGUUGAAAAUGGUGUCUGAUUCAGUCUGAUAUAAUAUGAUUAGAUCUUUUAUUAUUGCACUGGUUUUGAUAUCAAUUUCAUGAUACUUUAUUUAAAACUUGCCAUCAACAUAGAGGAAAGUGUUUUUUAGAACUUCUUAUGUUAAGACUGAUUUCUAGGUUGUGUCACUUAUCUUCAUAAUCUCUUUAUACUGUUCACAUCUUAAAAUUUUUCCCACUGAUUUUAUAAUUAUAGUGCAUUCUUUUGAU